Molecule: ribosomal RNA, 253 nt
Filed under: uncultured bacterium
Lineage: Bacteria
Description: partial 16S ribosomal RNA
Rfam family: Bacterial small subunit ribosomal RNA
Source: RNAcentral
UACGUAGGGGGCAAGCGUUGUCCGGAUUUACUGGGCGUAAAGGGCUCGUAGGCGGCCAACUAAGUCGGACGUGAAAUCCCUCAGCUUAACUGGGGAACUGCGUCCGAUACUGGAUGGCUUGGAUUUGGGAGAGGUGAGUGGAAUUCCCAGUGUAGCGGUGAAAUGCGUAGAUAUUGGGAGGAACACCAGUGGCGAAGGCGGCUCACUGGACCGGUACUGACGCUGAGGCGCGAAAGCGUGGGGAGCAAACAGG